This 330-nucleotide ribosomal RNA is filed under the name uncultured bacterium. RNAcentral describes it as "bacterial SSU rRNA". It matches the Rfam family "Bacterial small subunit ribosomal RNA", at positions 568 to 898 of the family's 1533-position model. The record is from RNAcentral.
UGUGUAGGCGGUUCUCUAAGUUCGGUGUGAAAUCUCCCGGCUUAACUGGGAGGGUGCGCCGAAAACUGGAGGGCUUGAGUAUGGGAGAGGAAAGCGGAAUUCCUGGUGUAGCGGUGAAAUGCGUAGAUAUCAGGAGGAACACCUGCGGUGUAGACAGCUUUCUGGACCAUCACUGACGCUGAGACACGAAAGCGUGGGUAGCAAACAGGAUUAGAUACCCUGGUAGUCCACGCCCUAAACGAUGCAUACUUGGUGUGAGCCGUUCAUUCGGUUCGUGCCGGAGCUAACGCGUUAAGUAUGCCGCCUGGGGAGUACGGUCGCAAGGCUGAA